UGCGGAUGCCUACCAUGCAAGUCGUACGGAGAGUGGGGCAACUCACUCUCAGUGGCAAACGGGUGAGUAACGCGUGAAUAACCUGCCUUUGAGAAGGGGAUAACCGUCCGAAAGGAUAGCUAAUACCCUAUAUUGCCUUUUGUCACUAAGGCAAAAGGUGAAAGCGAGGCUGUCAAAGGCUUCGGCUCAAAGAGGGGUUCGCGUCCUAUCAGGUAGUUGGUGGGGUAAUGGCCUACCAAGCCAAUGACGGGUAGCUGGUCUUAGAGGAUGAUCAGCCACAGUGGGACUGAGACACGGCCCGCACCCCUACGGGGGGCAGCAGUGGGGAAUCGUGGGCAAUGGGCGCAAGCCUGACCCCGCAAUGCCGCGUGAGGGAAGAAGCCCUUCGGGGUGUAAACCUCUGUCAGAUGGGAAGAUGGGACUAGGGGCUAAUACCUCCUGGUCUUGACGGUACCAUCAGAGGAAGGGACGGCUAACUACGUGCCAGCAGCCGCGGUAAU
This 500-nucleotide ribosomal RNA is filed under the name uncultured bacterium. Its description in RNAcentral is "bacterial SSU rRNA". It matches the Rfam family "Bacterial small subunit ribosomal RNA", at positions 39 to 524 of the family's 1533-position model. The record is from RNAcentral.